Molecule: ribosomal RNA, 429 nt
Filed under: bacterium
Lineage: Bacteria
Description: partial 16S ribosomal RNA
Rfam family: Bacterial small subunit ribosomal RNA
Source: RNAcentral
UGGGGAAUUUUGGACAAUGGGGGCAACCCUGAUCCAGCAAUGCCGCGUGUGUGAAGAAGGCCUUCGGGUUGUAAAGCACUUUUGUCCGGAAAGAAAACUUCGGGGCUAAUACCCCUGGAGGAUGACGGUACCGGAAGAAUAAGCACCGGCUAACUACGUGCCAGCAGCCGCGGUAAUACGUAGGGUGCGAGCGUUAAUCGGAAUUACUGGGCGUAAAGCGUGCGCAGGCGGUGCUGUAAGACCGAUGUGAAAUCCCCGGGCUUAACCUGGGAACUACAUUGGGGACUGCAGCGCUGGAGUAUGGCAGGGGGGGGUGGAAUUCCACGUGUAGCAGUGAAAUGCGUAGAGAUGUGGAGGAACACCGAUGGCGAAGGCAGCCCCCUGGGCCAAUACUGACGCUCAUGCACGAAAGCGUGGGGAGCAAACAGG